This 231-nucleotide unclassified non-coding RNA is filed under the name plant metagenome. RNAcentral's name for it is "partial contains small subunit ribosomal RNA, internal transcribed spacer 1, and 5.8S ribosomal RNA". The record is from RNAcentral.
UCUCCGUUGGUGAACCAGCGGAGGGAUCAUUACUGAGUUACCGCUCUACAACCCUUUGUGAACAUACCUAACUGUUGCUUCGGCGGGCAGAGGUCCCUCGCGGAUCUCUCCCGGCAACGCCCUCACGGGCGGAGCGCCCGCCGGAGGAUACCAAACUCUAUUUUAACGACGUUUCUUCUGAGUGGCACAAGUAAAUAGUUAAAACUUUUAACAACGGAUCUCUUGGUUCUG